This is a long non-coding RNA of Olea europaea var. sylvestris, 1056 nucleotides long. RefSeq lists it as uncharacterized. NCBI's taxonomy places the organism in Eukaryota, Viridiplantae, Streptophyta, Magnoliopsida, Lamiales, Oleaceae. The transcript has 2 exons. The record is from RefSeq and is a predicted model, not a curated record.
CUCUGCCACUCUUUCCCAGUUCAGCUGAUUUCCCCCUUUGUGCCUCCAUCAUGACAAAAAGCUACCGUCAGUUUCCAGUCGGUUAGAUAGGUUUUCAGUUCAUUGCCGGUGAUCUUCUUCUUGUUAAGGUGUAGAAGUAUGAAUAUAGGGUCAUAGGUGGAUUUUGAGAUUUGUAAGAAAAAACUGCUGGCUGCUUUCUGGCAAAUCCCGCUGUUAACAGGGAGUCCGUCACCAUCGCUGACUUUUGUUCGAUUUUCUGGCUAAGAAAGGAGCAUCUUUAGAACGAAUACUUGGUAAGAUCAUUGUGCACAUUACGACAAACUAAAACAUAAUCAACCAUGAUUUUUUUAUUUCACGAUACAAUAGUUGGUCUGUGAAUGAUAACAGUCUUCUGGCAUGCGUGUGAUCCAAUUGAAAAUGUGUAUUUUGAUGGCUGUAAAUUCUCCAGUGAUAUAAAAUAAGCAUGGAAACUUCAGUGAAUUGAAAUGUUGUGUGUUUUCUCACAUCAAUUUGUAAUAUUAUCUUCUAUUGUUUCAGACAAUGGAGUCCGUCCAUGUGUUAGUCACAUGCGAUGCAAACACGUUUGGCAAUUGGCAUUAUGGUGCAAAUGAAGAGCAGUUACCAGUAGUUUCGAUUUGGAUGAGACGUAGAAAAUAAUUUUAGAGUUCCCACUUUGAUUGAACGGGGAUAAACUUUACGCAUCUAUGACAAUCAUAGCCUUUUAAUAUUUCAUUUAAUUAGUAAUGUAAACUUUGAAGUUGCAGCGUUGAUAAACAUCGUUGAUUCCGGUGAUAUUUGACUCCAUCUCUAUGAAGUGAGAACCUCUUUGAUUUACCAUAGACAUCGAUGAGAGUAUUGUAUGUGAUUGUGUUAGGCUUGAUUCCGUAAACUGCCAUGUCAUAAACCUGUAGGCAAGACUUUAUGAGGAUUGUGUAUGUGGAGACACCAGGUUGACAAUCAUGACUGUUCUUCAUUUGUUCAAGAGUAGAAAAUGCUUUGUAAAAAGACCACUUCGAUUGCAGGCAGACAAAUGAGCAGUGUAUGCUUCAUGUUUCA